GAUGGAGUGGGGCUGGUAACCUAGGAAGGGGCAAGGGUCACUACAAUGUUAAUUGGUGUCUGCAGAUCAGACCCAUUUUUCUAUAGUGAAUAAUUUAAAAACAAUGUCAUUCAUUAAAUGAACCAAUGCCCUUGACUUCUUAAAAGAGGUGAAGGGAAUUAAUCACAGUAAGUUCUCUGAACAUAAAAAUUAACUAAGUUUAUAGUGCUGGAACUGAUGUGUGUGCGAUAACAGUACAUUAUAUUUGAAAGGAUGACCAGAAGACAGCAGCAGGAAUUAAACUAAAGCCAAGAAACUGAGCACAGCUCCUUGGACAAAUCUUAAUCUUGGCUGAUGCCAUAUCUGGUGGGGGUGAGCUGAAGUGUACUUCACUGUGCAUAGAGAGAGAAACCUGCUUUUGAAACUCCUUCCAGAAGCAUACUAUCUUUUCAUUUUUCCACCACAAAGAGAGCUCCCAGAUGAUUAUGCACUCUUCUGCCCAGUGAACAAAAGGAAGCAUAAUCUGGACUAACUACAGUAUCUGAAAUUUGGGAGGAAAGAAUAAAAGACAGAAAAAUGAAAAAGAAGAGGAAGAGAAGGAAGAAGAGAGGAAGGACAUGUUUGCU
This 605-nucleotide long non-coding RNA is filed under the name Homo sapiens (human). Its description in RNAcentral is "HSALNT0393770". The record is from RNAcentral. Lineage: Eukaryota; Metazoa; Chordata; Mammalia; Primates; Hominidae.